GCCUACGGGGCGCAGCAGUGAGGAAUAUUGGUCAAUGGACGGAAGUCUGAACCAGCCAAGUCGCGUGAGGGAAGGCGGUCCUAUGGAUUGUAAACCUCUUUAGGCGGGGAGCAAUGCCGGGCACGCGUGUCCGGAGGGAGAGUACCCGCAGAAUAAGCAUCGGCUAACUCCGUGCCAGCAGCCGCGGUAAUACGGAGGAUGCGAGCGUUAUCCGGAUUUAUUGGGUUUAAAGGGUGCGUAGGCGGAUUUUUAAGUCAGCGGUAAAAUCGAGAGGCUCAACCUCUUUCCGCCGUUGAAACUGUCGG
This 305-nucleotide ribosomal RNA is filed under the name uncultured bacterium. RNAcentral's name for it is "bacterial SSU rRNA". It matches the Rfam family "Bacterial small subunit ribosomal RNA", at positions 337 to 639 of the family's 1533-position model. The record is from RNAcentral.